This 253-nucleotide ribosomal RNA is filed under the name Ligilactobacillus ruminis. Its description in RNAcentral is "partial 16S ribosomal RNA". It matches the Rfam family "Bacterial small subunit ribosomal RNA", at positions 524 to 776 of the family's 1533-position model. Lineage: Bacteria; Bacillati; Bacillota; Bacilli; Lactobacillales; Lactobacillaceae. The record is from RNAcentral.
UACGUAGGUGGCGAGCGUUGUCCGGAUUUAUUGGGCGUAAAGGGAACGCAGGCGGUCUUUUAAGUCUGAUGUGAAAUCCUUCGGCUUAACCGAAGUAGUGCAUUGGAAACUGGAAGACUUGAGUGCAGAAGAGGAGAGUGGAACUCCAUGUGUAGCGGUGAAAUGCGUAGAUAUAUGGAAGAACACCAGUGGCGAAAGCGGCUCUCUGGUCUGUAACUGACGCUGAGGUUCGAAAGCGUGGGUAGCAAACAGG